GUGGCGAACGGGUGAGUAACACGUGAGCAACCUGCCCCGGACUCUGGGAUAAGCGCUGGAAACGGCGUCUAAUACUGGAUACGAGCUGCAACCGCAUGGUUAGCAGUUGGAAAGAUUUUUUGGUCUGGGAUGGGCUCGCGGCCUAUCAGCUUGUUGGUGAGGUAAUGGCUCACCAAGGCGUCGACGGGUAGCCGGCCUGAGAGGGUGACCGGCCACACUGGGACUGAGACACGGCCCAGACUCCUACGGGAGGCAGCAGUGGGGAAUAUUGCACAAUGGGCGAAAGCCUGAUGCAGCAACGCCGCGUGAGGGACGACGGCCUUCGGGUUGUAAACCUCUUUUAGCAAGGAAGAAGCGAAAGUGACGGUACUUGCAGAAAAAGCGCCGGCUAACUACGUGCCAGCAGCCGCGGUAAUACGUAGGGCGCAAGCGUUAUCCGGAAUUAUUGGGCGUAAAGAGCUCGUAGGCGGUUUGU
This 475-nucleotide ribosomal RNA is filed under the name Microbacterium sp. LCF55. Its description in RNAcentral is "bacterial SSU rRNA". It matches the Rfam family "Bacterial small subunit ribosomal RNA", at positions 95 to 583 of the family's 1533-position model. Lineage: Bacteria; Bacillati; Actinomycetota; Actinomycetes; Micrococcales; Microbacteriaceae. The record is from RNAcentral.